Rattus norvegicus (Norway rat) is the source of this 3574-nucleotide non-coding RNA. The record is from RefSeq and is a predicted model, not a curated record. NCBI's taxonomy places the organism in Eukaryota, Metazoa, Chordata, Mammalia, Rodentia, Muridae.
AGAUCAUCCGGGCGUCGGAGCGGGAGGCAGAGAGCGGGGCCCGCGGGAGGCGGAGGAGGCGCCGAGGAUUCAUCGCUUUCCGCCCCACCUGCCUGGGCCCCCCUCCCCCCGCCCCAGCCACCCGAUCCCAAGCUGCGGACCCGGCCGGCGCGGAGACCACGGCGUUCUAGCUCCUGCGCGCGCUCCCGCCCCUAGCGCCGCCGCCGCCUCUAGCGCGGCCCCGCGCACGCGCGCUCUCGACCGCGCUGCCCCUCUCCCUGCCCGGUCCCGCCCCGCGCCGCCGCUCCCCCCACCCCCGGCCCUGCAGCUGCGGCGCGGCCCAUGGGCUGGAGAGACCCGGAUGUGGGAGGGCCGGAACUGCGGCUAGGGCGGGGGAGGGGCUGUGGUGACGUCACUGCCCUGCGCUGCUCCUUAGCCGGCUGCUGUGGGGCCGCCGGCGCCGCGGGCUGAUCCCUUGGGAGCCUCGAAGUCCUGGGUGGGAGCCAGGCGCGCGGCCUUCGUGCUAGAGCGCGGAGGGCCCCCUCCAAACCCGGCGGUCUUCGUCCACACCUGACUCUUACACCUGCCUACAGACGCCAGUCAUCAGGUGCAGUCUCGGUUAGGGCCCGGCGUAGGGGAGUCAGCCUGCCCUUCGACCUCAGGGGGCCCACACGGCUGCCACGGCCAUACCGCAAUCGUGCGUGUGCAACCAGUUCACGCCUUGGGACACGUGCCUCGAGCUUCUGGCGGGUUGUCCCUGAGUCGCUCUAGGGAUUCCGAAUUGUAUUUAUGUGCACGUUACAGGGUCACGUGAUCCGGUCUCAACGGACACUUCCAAAGACCUCCAAAGGGGUUAAUGGAACCGAGGAUUAUUAUUUUUUUUUUAAAUCUAGAGGGUAACCAGAAACAUGACAGCUGCUUUCAUGAAGAGCUAGAGAUGAGCUAAAGGUAAUUGAAGCUGCACGUGCAGGCGACCAGAAUCCAGUUUAGCUAGCUAGACCACAGAAAAUCCGACCCACGCUGCUUGCAGACGCCGGGAUAGAAUGACAAACCCUAGGCAGCCAAUGAAUCAGAGCUGGAAAGCAGUACAUCACCAGUAUGAGUUCCCAUUGGCUGGGGUGCCUUUCCAGCUUUUCAGUCACUGCUUAACCCUUACACCAAAAUCGCAGGAAUAGAAGUUUAAGAGAGAUUCUGGUAUAAUACAAAGAAAAAGCAUAUAUUCCGUUGAAACAGGCUAAUGCUUUAAAUAGAUAUAUAUAUAUAUAUAUAUAUACAUAUAAUAUAUAUGUUAUAUAUAAUAUAUGAAUAUAUAUAUAUUAUAUAUAUAUGUAAAAACUAUUAGCCACAUAGAGUUCAAGCCAGUAAGAUGAAUUGCACUGUGGCCUGCCCCCUCUGGAGCUUACUGAGAUUUGCACCCUGCUACUUUGUGUCUGUUAAAAACAACUCCAUUGUCUUGACUCAAAGAUCAAAUGCAACCUGCUUUUCGCAGACUAUCAUUCCAUAAACUAUUUCUCUACUUUGGAUAUUGUGGAAACCAUGUCCGAUAUUUUCACCAUGACUUGUGGAAAAUGAUUCUCUUUCUUCACUUUCACACCUGACAUCUAACGGCAGGACCACCUAUGACUACCAGUUGCCAGCAGACCCACUGACCCUCCAAAUCACUCAGUAUCUUGGGAAUAAGAUGAAUAUGUAACAUCUCCAGGCGUCUUCCUGGUGCAUAACAGACAACUGGUCAACUGUGUCUACCAAGUCUCUGGACACCAUCUGUGGGGAUGUUGUAGUAUGUAGGAAACUUGUGGGCCAUAAGUUUAACAUUUAAAAGAUUGGAAUUAGACAUUCAUAUUGUCUAAUAUAAGAUGUUCAAUUAUGAUAUUCCCUUCUAGUAUCAAAAUUUUGGUGUUGUUGAUGAGACAGGGUCUCAGAAAAUAAAUAAAAUAAACUGCCAUGUAAAAGUUAAAGAUGAGACACACCUAGUUCCUAUAGGAAGCCUUUUCUGGGUCCCACUCUUAAAUUCAGACAAGGCAUGGCCAAGCCCUUAUCUGCUGUGUUUACUACUUCCAAAGUAUUAGUCCUUCCUUUAUGACCAAUCUCAAGUCAUCAAAAUUAAGUCUCUGAGUUUCCACCACUUAGACAUAAUAUGCACAUAUUACCACCUCAGAAACACACAUAGCCCUGGCUAUCCUGAAAUUCACACUUCCCUCAGCCUCUGAGUGCUGGGAUUAAAGAUAUGACAACCAUGAGAAAAGGGACUUUGGAAAUAAGAGGGAUAACUGUUUUUCACGUUUGAACUGUUAGACUUUAAUCCUCUAACCAGUGUUUGAAGUCUUCACAACAAAUUUUGGUGACAUAUCAGUUUGAUCGUUUUUGCAGAAUAAUUUUUUUUUUAGUUAACAGAGAAAGGAAGUCAAAAGGUAUAGUUUCAAAGUACUAAAUUUACUGUGCUCCUGUAACCUAGGAGUGAGUGAGGCAAAGACAAGGGCUUCAGUAGGGAAGCUAAGACCAAUACACUUAAUACUAAACAUGAAUAUUAGAGUAGUCCAGUGCUGGUGCAUGCCUCUAAUCCUAUCACUCAGGAGCCAGAGGCAGGCGGAGCUCUGUGAGGGGCCAGCCUGGUCUACAGAGUGAGCUUCAGGACCGCCUGGGCUAUACAGAGAAACCCUGUCUCAAACAACAAAGACAAACAGAAGGACCCCAAACCACUAGUACACAAAAUUAAAGCCUAGUACACUCAAUACUCUCUCCAUUAUUAAAGAUGAACUAUUAAUAUACAUUUAAAAGAAAAAGUAUGUGGGGUUACAUUUCUUAUUGCAUAACUAUUAUGGUGCAUCCAGAGGCUCAGUCUGAGAUGGCCUAAAACCCAGGCCUUUCCAAGUGCUUCUCCUGCAUGUAAAUGAUCCUCCAGGAUGCCGAGAAGCUCCUUCCCCCAGCCAGCCAACCGUCCUUCCACAGAAAGCUGAGCACUGCCCAAGUACAAAGCCAAGCAGCCCAGAGGUCCGCCUCUCCCUUCCUCUGCUUCACUACCUGGUUUGGGGUUUUCUUUCUCCCAUAGCCACUUCGUGUGUCCUCCUCUUGUCUGCUUUCUUCUUGUCUCUCUUCUCCCUUUCUUCUGUACUCCUUUUAUAUCCUUUUCCUUUCUUGCCCUCAUUUUUCUCUUCCUUGAUUUGAAAAACUUAAUCCAAAAUUUAGUUUCUGUUACCCAUUUUUUCCUGAAUUUGAACAUACGAAAUAGCCCUAAACUAAUUUUAUUCAGGGAUGGGGUGCCCCACCCCAUCCCCUCCCUCCCUCUUCCCCCUCACCAUUUCAUGGUAAUGAAAAACAGCAGUUAAAGAAUGAGAAGGAUUAGAGAAUCAAUGCCCUGUGUGACAUCACUGCUGAGGUGGGGGUGGGUUAGCCAUCCCAGGGCCAAGCAGAAGGGAGCUAGCCAUCUUUUGCUGCCUCUAUGACUCCUGGUCCCUGAGAAAAAUGUGAACUAUCCUGAACUAAACCACAUCCUUGGAAGUGAAGUGGCAACAGUUUUCAUCCUCAACAAUGACAGCUUGGUGGAAAAGAGCACUGAAAUAAAUGCCCAUCACAAUAAAGUCUUUUAUCAGUACAA